This 292-nucleotide ribosomal RNA is filed under the name uncultured bacterium. RNAcentral's name for it is "partial 16S ribosomal RNA". It matches the Rfam family "Bacterial small subunit ribosomal RNA", at positions 505 to 796 of the family's 1533-position model. The record is from RNAcentral.
GUUUCAGCCGCCGCGGUAAGACGGAAGGUGCAAGCGUUGCUCGGAAUCACUGGGCGUAAAGGGUGCGUAGGCGGCCGCGCAAGUCUGGCGUGAAAGCCCCGGGCUCAGCCCGGGAAGGGCGCUCGAAACGGCGCGGCUGGAGUGCCGGAGGGGAGAGUGGAAUUCCUGGUGUAGCGGUGAAAUGCGUAGAUAUCAGGAGGAAUACCGGUGGCGAAAGCGACUCUCUGGACGGCAACUGACGCUGAGGCACGAAAGCGUGGGGAGCAAACAGGAUUAGAAACCCUGGUAGUCC